GAGUUUGAUCCUGGCUCAGGAUGAACGCUAGCGGCAGGCCUAAUACAUGCAAGUCGAACGAUAGAUUGGGGCUUGCUUCAAUCGAAAAGUGGCGCACGGGUGCGUAACGCGUAUGCAACCUACCUUAUUCAGGGGGAUAGCCCGAAGAAAUUCGGAUUAACACCGCAUAAAAUCACAGCUCAGCAUUGAGUAAUGAUCAAAUAUUUAUAGGAAUAAGAUGGGCAUGCGUGUCAUUAGCUAGUUGCGGGGUAACGGCCCACCAAGGCGACGAUGACUAGGGGAUCUGAGAGGAUGACCCCCCACACUGGUACUGAGACACGGACCAGACUCCUACGGGAGGCAGCAGUAAGGAAUAUUGGUCAAUGGAGGCAACUCUGAACCAGCCAUGCCGCGUGCAGGAAGACAGCCCUCUGGGUCGUAAACUGCUUUUAUUCGGGAAUAAACCUUUCUACGUGUAGAGAGCUGAAUGUACCGAAGGAAUAAGGAUCGGCUAACUCCGUGCCAGCCGCCG
Molecule: ribosomal RNA, 511 nt
Filed under: uncultured bacterium
Lineage: Bacteria
Description: bacterial SSU rRNA
Rfam family: Bacterial small subunit ribosomal RNA
Source: RNAcentral